RNAcentral lists this long non-coding RNA (609 nucleotides) under Mytilus galloprovincialis (Mediterranean mussel). Lineage: Eukaryota; Metazoa; Mollusca; Bivalvia; Mytilida; Mytilidae. The record is from RNAcentral.
CCCUGCCUUUAUUAAAAUGAUUGUUUUUAUUCACUGUAUGAUAUAGAUUCUGUAAUAUUAUUAUUUGAUUAAGUAUUUCCCUUUCAAUUUCUACGACAAGGGGGCAAUGGUAUUGUUACCUUUCUGUCUUUUAUAGACUAUACCAUCUUUUCACAGAAUGUAAUGUAGCACUAGAAAAAAAAAUCUUGAAUAAUGUCAUUUUCUGUCUCCUUUAAAUAUUUUUUGCUUCCUUAGAUAAUCAUUUCUUUGUUUCCAUCCCACUAAAGUAUUCUGAGAUUAAAUAACCUCGACAUUCUGUGAAACAUAUACAAAUGAUGUUUUACUUUAACAACAUAUAAUCCAAAUAGACAUAUAAAACUAUUUUUACCAUACCACAUUUUGUGCCUAUACCUUUAGUAAUAUUACCUAGGUCAAAUGUUGUUUGUUAUUGUUUAUCUGUGUAAGUCUAUUUUGUUGGAGGAGUCAGUUGUAAGGGGUUGGGUCGAGUCUGUAGUUAGGGGUAGGAUGGAGUCUGUUGUUAGGGGUAGGGAAGAUAUUGUUGUUAGGGGUUGGGAAGAGAUUUUUGUGAGGGGUUGGGAAGAGUCUGUUGUUAGGGGUUGAGAAGAGUCU